RNAcentral lists this unclassified non-coding RNA (274 nucleotides) under Hevea brasiliensis (rubber tree). The record is from RNAcentral. Lineage: Eukaryota; Viridiplantae; Streptophyta; Magnoliopsida; Malpighiales; Euphorbiaceae.
UCUACUAUAGCCUAGCAGUUACACUCCCCUCACUAUAAAUAUAAUAUAUUUAUUUAGAUUAAGAAGUAAAGUUUUAAAAAUUAGCAUUUGUAGUGGUUGGUGAGUCUUAGGUGGAUUUAAGGAAAUUUUUGGGAAUUGGCAAGGAUAGUUUACUUUGGGGCAAAUAAAAUAAAAUAAAUAGAUUUGGUUGGAUUUGAGGUUGAAUAAAGAAGAUCUUAUUUUAUUUGGUUGGAGAAACAAAAAGGGAAAAGUGGAAUUAAUGGACUAAGGAGGG